CAGAUGUCAGCCGGGCACAUUCAUUAUAUCUUUUAAAUUAUCGUUUUAUGCCUUCAAAUCAGAGUUGCUUUUCUCCACACUGAGAAAGAUUAACAUGGCAAAUCUGCUUCUCUGUGUUAUCAAACUGGUUUUGUUACUCAGGUGAAAGUUACCCAUCUGACAGCAAACAUUUGAGAGAAGUUUGUGAAAUGAGGAAGCUGCAGGUCACUUUAAAACAAGCACUUUAGACACUUGCUGAGCUGUUGUUUUUUGAGGAACUUUGACCAGCUUUUGAGACUCUGCUGUAAAGUAGCAUGUGAUUCAGUCUUUUUUUUAUAUGCAGAACGGAAGAACCAGGUGUGACCGCCAGUGUCACUGGAACAAGUUGGAUUCAACUAAGUGGACAGAUUUUUAAAGAUCAUUGCACGCUGGAUGAAAGGUGUUUUGCAUGCUGGUAAGAGAUGACUGUUUUGUUGAUGCUCUGUGAAUCUUAUUGAAGAAGACUCAGAUCAUAAGAAGUUCACUUCGCUCUUGAAUAAAUCAAAUGAGUUCUCUGGCAUCACAGCUCAGUCCAGAUGAGAUGAAGUUACUUGCUAAACUAGAAGAACAGAACAGGCUGCUAGAGAAAGACAGCAAGUCCCUUUCCUCUGUAAAUGGAGUCCUGCAAAGUCCCUCUUCUCUCAGAAACCUCUAUUUUGACGAGGACACAUGGGAUCAGGUGGUUAAAGAAUGGGAGGACUGGAGUAAAAAUAAAGUCGGACAGCUCAAGGAGCUGAUCAGAAGAGGGAUACCGGCUCACCUGAGAGCUCACCUGUGGCAGCUGCUGUGUGAUGCUCAGAAUGUGGCCGAUCGGCAGCGGUAUUCACAACUGCUAAAAACCUCCUCUCCCUCUGAGACACUGAUACGCAGAGACAUGACGCGCAUCCUUCCACAACACCAGCUGUUUCAGAGUCUGGACAGCACCAGCCAGGAGGCUCUUUUUAAUGUUCUGAAGGCUUACUCAGCCUUGGACAGAGAAAUUGGCUAUUGUCAGGGAAGUGUGUUUAUUGUAGGGAUGUUGAUCACACAGAUGUCUGAAGAAGAGGCCUUCUGUGUGUUUGUGAGGCUUAUGAAGGAUUUUCAGUUGAGGGAGCUCUAUAGAUCCACUAUGACUGAUCUUGGCUGUUGCAUUUAUCAGUUAGACUCUAUGAUUCAGGAGCAGCUUCCAGACCUUCAUUCCCACUUUCAGACUCAGGGUUUCCACACCUCUAUUUUCUCCUCAACCUGGUUUCUCCAUAUCCUCCUGUCUUCCCUGUCUGUCGCAGCUGCCCCGAGGAUUUUUGACAUAUUCAUGUGUGAGGGGCUGGAGAUUGUGUUUCGGGUUGGUCUGGCCAUGCUUUACCUAAAGCAAGCAGAACUUAUCAAGUUUGAUGUAGAAGGCAUGACGCAGUGCUUGCAGAACUCAAUAAAACAAUAUUUAGAUCCUGACAAUUUAAUUAAAGCAGCGUAUCAAAUAAAAUACAUCCCCAGAAGAAUGAAAGAGUUGAGAAAAUAUUAUGCAUCUAUUAAGGCAAAAGAGCUGGAGGAACAGGAGGAACUAAAUGGGCUAUACUCAGAAAACAAGCUUUUAAAGCAAAGACUUGAUAUGCUGGAAAACAGAUGUUCUGAAAAACUGGUUUCACAGCUCAAGACAGAACUGGAGACAACUCGGCUCAAUGCUACCAAGUCAUUCAACACUUUAAAAGAGAUGCAGGCUAAGAUCUUGCAGAAGGAAGAGAACAGUACAGGGCCGGACGAGGACUGUGUGGAAUAUCUGCAGAAGGAGCUGAUCAGCUGUAGACUGCGGGAAGCAGAAGCUCUGACAAGACUUAAAGAGCUCAAACUGCACGUUAAACACAUGGAUGAGAAAUGGCAAAAUCAGCAGGCGCAUGGUGGAGGUCAGCAGAAAGGUGGCAGUGUGCAGAAUAUACUGCAGGUGGAGCUGUUGAGCGCUCAACUGAAGGAAACUCACAGUAAAGCCGCACUCAUAGAGAGUCGUCACAGACUUCUGCAACUUCAGACUGAGAAUGAACUUACCAGUAACCAGCUAAAGCGUAUUGAAGCACACGUUAACAGCCAACGAGAGCAUCUGCAGGAGCUGACGUCACAAAACCAACAUCUACACAACCAAUUACAAUAAAGCAGACAGUUUUUAGCCACUGAAUAAAAGGUGUCGGAGAAGGAAGAGGCUGAACUAAUUCUUCAGCAGGAAACCAUGGCAAUCUUCGUCAUCAAAGAUGGACAAGCUAUACUCAAAGACAUUGCCUGCAUACUUGAGGGACAAUAAAGGCUGAUGUUUUCUAAGGCCGAAAAUGAGCUUCCCCUCUUUAAAAGAUCAGCAGCCGCCACUGGUUUCAACCUAACCUCAGAAGAUCAUCUGUGGCCUCAAGCAUCAGAACUUUCCGCAAUGAAAACAGGUAAGUCUUCAGAAUCCAUUAAGCUUUACGCUACUUGAAACUGUUACAGUGAAUUAGUGUGUACAGCAUGGUAGUGUGUACCAAAGAGUGUAAUGUGAUUUCUGUAAAUUUGUUGUCACUUUGACUUUCUCCCUGCAGAAUAGAGACUAGGCCAAAUAGGGGAGCCAGAAGCAAAAUUCUGACUGAUCAAUAAGAGCAGGAUGUGGUCAAUAUGGUUAGGGUCAGAAAUGAUAUUCCCCUUAGAGAAAUUCGGCAGCACAUCUUGGACAAAACGACAUAUUCAGAAAUGUGGAAGCCAUAAGUUUGCCGAUUAUUGCAAGACUGCUGAAAAGACAUCAGGUGUCUUUAAGACAACUAUACCAUGUGCCUUUUGAAAUAAAUACAGAUAAAAUGAAGCAACUGAGGAAUGAAUAUGUUCAGAGGGUGAUGAAGCUGGAUGCUGAUGAAAACCAUCACAAAUUCUUAUUUGUGGAUGAGGCAGGCUUUAACCUAGCCAAGACAAGGAGGAGAGGUCAGAAUUUCAUUGGCCAGCGGGCAACCAUCGAAGUACCUGGACAACGUGGAGCCAAUAUCACCAUGUGUGCAGCUAUCAGAAGAUGGAGUCGUUGAACGCAGACCGUGUGUUGGGUCAUAUAAUGCAGCCAUCCGCAUAGCCUUCCUUGAUGAGCUAAAUCAGGUCUGUAGAGCUGAUGGUGUGAC
Triplophysa dalaica is the source of this 3113-nucleotide RNA transcript. It is a transcript of the gene named ecotropic viral integration site 5a, with no coding region annotated. The record is from RefSeq and is a predicted model, not a curated record. The transcript has 18 exons. NCBI's taxonomy places the organism in Eukaryota, Metazoa, Chordata, Actinopteri, Cypriniformes, Nemacheilidae.